RNAcentral lists this long non-coding RNA (213 nucleotides) under Lathyrus oleraceus (garden pea). RNAcentral's name for it is "Pisum sativum (pea) long non-coding RNA (PSAT_LNC033183)". Lineage: Eukaryota; Viridiplantae; Streptophyta; Magnoliopsida; Fabales; Fabaceae. The record is from RNAcentral.
GAUAGUUCCAUGUGAAACUUUUUAGUAGCUUUUACACAAUCUUCUUUUUUGCGAAAUGUGUCUUCUUGUUUCAAAGAUCCUUGCAUUUACACAUAAGGAUUGUACCAUAUAUCUGAUGAAGGUUCAUCGGAACCCAAAUUCAACCUUGUCAUGUGUUGAGAUGGACAGUAUACAUGACUAGCUGGUAAUGGCUUCUCUUCUUCAUCAGCGUUC